CCUACGGGUGGCUGCAGUGAGGAAUAUUGGUCAAUGGGCGCGAGCCUGAACCAGCCAAGUAGCGUGAAGGAUGACUGCCCUACGGGUUGUAAACUUCUUUUAUAAAGGAAUAAAACGAGGCACGUGUGCCUUUUUGCGUGUACUUUAUGAAUAAGGAUAGGAUAACUCCGUGCCCGCAGCCGCGGUAAUACGGAGGAUCCGAGCGUUAUCAGGAUUUAGUGGGUUUAAAGGGAGCGUAGAUGGGUUGUUAAGUCAGUUGUGAAAGUUUCCGGCUCAACCGUAAAAUUGCAAUGGAUACUGGCAGUCUUGAGUGCAGGUGAGGUAGGCGGAAUUCGUGGUGUAGCGGUGAAAUGCGUAGAUAUCACGAAGAACCCCGAUGGCGAAGGCAGCUUACUAAACUGUGACUGACACUGAUGCUCGAAAGUGUGGGGAUCAAACAGGAUUAGAUACCCUUGUAGUC
RNAcentral lists this ribosomal RNA (460 nucleotides) under uncultured bacterium. RNAcentral's name for it is "partial 16S ribosomal RNA". It matches the Rfam family "Bacterial small subunit ribosomal RNA", at positions 338 to 795 of the family's 1533-position model. The record is from RNAcentral.